AUCCAUUUAUCUUUCUUCUCUCCAACUUUCAACCUAUUUCUUUCUCUCAAACUCCUCUCUCUCACCCAAAUUAUAAAAUUUUUGCUCCAUUCAUAUUCUAUCUCUCAACAUGCCAUGUAUUGAUAGUUUUACUAUACUUCAGGUGUCUACGACAGAUGAAGUAGUGAAUCUUCAGUUUUUUGGAUCCAAGAAGAGGUUUUGACCUAAUUUUUUUUUUAAACUUUUAUGGUUUCAUAGUAGAAAAAGUCUUUUGUUGGAUGUUUGGUUUUCAUUGAUGAUUAUGUAAUUAAAAUUCUGGGAAUUUAAUCCUGCUCUUUUUACAGCUGUUGUAAUAAAUUUAAUAAAUUUCCUGAAUGUUAAGUUUGAGUUUUUGGCAUGUAUAUUCCUUUACUAAUGUAAUUUUUCUAUUUUUAAUGAUAUAUUUCUUAUAUACUUUGGCUUUUCUUUUCCUUUUUCUGCUAUUUUUUAAUUGUUUUUUAAUCUUUCUUAUCCUACCUCCACACCUCUUCUUUUAAUCUUUAGUUUCCCUUUUUUUUUUGUACUUUCACCUACAAGAUUUUCUACUUUUGUUUAUCCAAGGUUAAAUGUAGUCCUUCAUUUGAGAGAUGAGAUAUUUUGACUCUUGAGAAUUUAUUUUUAUAGAUAAAUGGAUGGACACUUCUGUUGGAAUAGCUUUCACAUCACAUGCCUUAAGUUUUGAAGUUGUAAAGCUAUAUUUUUUAAAUUGCAUUUUAUUAAUCAUCUGCAAUGCCUUUAAGUUUCUUUGUUAUGGGUGAAUAUCAGGUUUUUCAUUCAUAUAACUACGGAGUACUUGUUUAUUUUCUAGACUGGCUAUAUGCUUUAUGAGGAAUAUGGAAGAGCUGCAUCAAUGCGGUUAAAAUUUUUUGCUUCCCAAGGCAAGCAUGCUGAUCAAUUAUCGGUUAGUUAAAUUUAUAUUGCUAUUCCGAUAUCAUGUAUUAGCAAAAAUGGAUUACUGCAGUUAGUAAAUAGAAGAUGAAAGUUGUUUGAUUUUUUUGUUUCAAG
RNAcentral lists this long non-coding RNA (1023 nucleotides) under Olea europaea subsp. europaea. Lineage: Eukaryota; Viridiplantae; Streptophyta; Magnoliopsida; Lamiales; Oleaceae. The record is from RNAcentral.